GGCGCGAAAACUUUACAAUGCUGGCAACAGCGAUAAGGGAACCUCGAGUGCCAGGUUACAAAUCUGGCUGUCGAGAUGCCUAAAAAGCAUUUCAUAGCAAGGGCCGGGCAAGACCGGUGCCAGCCGCCGCGGUAACACCGGCGGCUCGAGUGGUAACCGUUAUUAUUGGGUCUAAAGGGUCUGUAGCCGGCCGGAUAAGUCUCUUGAGAAAUCUGGCAGCUUAACUGGCAGGCUUUCAGGAGAUACUGUCUGGCUCGAGGCCGGGAGAGGUGAGAGGUACUUCAGGGGUAGGGGUGAAAUCUUGUAAUCCUUGAAGGACCACCAGUGGCGAAGGCGUCUCACCAGAACGGACCUGACGGCAAGGGACGAAAGCUAGGGGCACGAACCGGAUUAGAAACCCUUGUAGUCC
Molecule: ribosomal RNA, 409 nt
Filed under: uncultured bacterium
Lineage: Bacteria
Description: partial 16S ribosomal RNA
Rfam family: Archaeal small subunit ribosomal RNA
Source: RNAcentral